GGCCGGGCCCUCGCGCAAAGGAGUGUCGUGAACCCCGUCAGAUCCGGAAGGAAGCAGCGGUAGCGGUGUUUUCCUUGUGCAGCGAGGAUCACCUGGCCACA
This 101-nucleotide signal recognition particle RNA is filed under the name Deltaproteobacteria bacterium. RNAcentral describes it as "signal recognition particle sRNA small type". The stretch from base 7 to 92 matches the Rfam family "Bacterial small signal recognition particle RNA". From Rfam's summary of the family: The signal recognition particle (SRP) is a universally conserved ribonucleoprotein involved in the co-translational targeting of proteins to membranes. Archaeal SRP consists of a 7S RNA and homologues of the eukaryotic SRP19 and SRP54 proteins. The record is from RNAcentral. Lineage: Bacteria; Pseudomonadati; Myxococcota; Myxococcia.